RNAcentral lists this ribosomal RNA (1346 nucleotides) under uncultured bacterium. RNAcentral describes it as "bacterial SSU rRNA". It matches the Rfam family "Bacterial small subunit ribosomal RNA", at positions 28 to 1381 of the family's 1533-position model. The record is from RNAcentral.
GACGAACGCUGGCGGCGUGCUUAACACAUGCUAGUCGAACGGAAAGGCCCUGCUUUUGUGGGGUGCUCGAGUGGCGAACGGGUGAGUAACACGUGAGUAACCUGCCCUUGACUUUGGGAUAACUUCAGGAAACUGGGGCUAAUACCGGAUAGGAGCUCCUGCUGCAUGGUGGGGGUUGGAAAGUUUCGGCGGUUGGGGAUGGACUCGCGGCUUAUCAGCUUGUUGGUGGGGUAGUGGCUUACCAAGGCUUUGACGGGUAGCCGGCCUGAGAGGGUGACCGGCCACAUUGGGACUGAGAUACAGCCCAGACUCCUACGGGAGGCAGCAGUGGGGAAUAUUGCACAAUGGGCGGAAGCCUGAUGCAGCAACGCCGCGUGCGGGAUGACGGCCUUCGGGUUGUAAACCGCUUUCGCCUGUGACGAAGCGUGAGUGACGGUAAUGGGUAAAGAAGCACCGGCUAACUACGUGCCAGCAGCCGCGGUGAUACGUAGGGUGCGAGCGUUGUCCGGAUUUAUUGGGCGUAAAGGGCUCGUAGGUGGUUGAUCGCGUCGGAAGUGUAAUCUUGGGGCUUAACCCUGAGCGUGCUUUCGAUACGGGUUGACUUGAGGAAGGUAGGGGAGAAUGGGAUUCCUGGUGGAGCGGUGGAAUGCGCAGAUAUCAGGAGGAACACCAGUGGCGAAGGCGGUUCUCUGGGCCUUUCCUGACGCUGAGGAGCGAAAGCGUGGGGAGCGAACAGGCUUAGAUACCCUGGUAGUCCACGCUGUAAACGGUGGGUACUAGGUGUGGGGUCCAUUCCACGGGUUCCGUGCCGUAGCUAACGCUUUAAGUACCCCGCCUGGGGAGUACGGCCGCAAGGCUAAAACUCAAAGGAAUUGACGGGGCCCCGCACAAGCGGCGGAGCAUGCGGAUUAAUUCGAUGCAACGCGUAGAACCUUACCUGGGUUUGACAUGGAUCGGGAGUGCUCAGAGAUGGGUGUGCCUCUUUUGGGGUCGGUUCACAGGUGGUGCAUGCCUGUCGUCAGCUCGUGUCGUGAGAUGUUGGGUUAAGUCCCGCAACGAGCGCAACCCUUGUUCACUGUUGCCAGCACGUUAUGGUGGGGACUCAGUGGAGACCGCCGGGGUCAACUCGGAGGAAGGUGGGGAUGACGUCAAGUCCUCAUGCCCCUUAUGUCCAGGGCUUCACGCAUGCUACAAUGGCUGGUACAGAGAGUGGCGAGCCUGUGAGGGUGAGCGAAUCUCGGAAAGCCGGUCUCAGUUCGGAUUGGGGUCUGCAACUCGACCUCAUGAAGUCGGAGUCGCUAGUAAUCGCAGAUCAGCAACGCUGCGGUGAAUACGUUCCCGGGGCU